GCAGUUAGGAAUUUUGCGCAAUGGGGGAAACCCUGACGCAGCAACGCCGCGUGCGGGAUGAAGGCCUUCGGGUCGUAAACCGCUUUUCUCGAGGAAGACACCUGACGGUACUCGAGGCAUAAGCAACGGCUAACUACGUGCCAGCAGCCGCGGUAAUACGUAGGUGGCGAGCGUUGUCCGGAUUUACUGGGCGUAAAGAGCGCGCAGGCGGUCGAUCAAGUCGCGUGUGAAAGCCCCCGGCUCAACUGGGGAGGGUCAUUCGAUACUGAUCGACUCGAAGGCAGGAGAGGGUAGUGGAAUUCCCGGUGUAGUGGUGAAAUGCGUAGAUAUCGGGAGGAACACCAGUGGCGAAGGCGACUACCUGGCCUGUUCUUGACGCUGAGGCGCGAAAGCUAGGGGAGCAAACGGGAUUAGAUACCCGUGU
This 424-nucleotide ribosomal RNA is filed under the name Stenotrophomonas sp. SAM-B. RNAcentral's name for it is "bacterial SSU rRNA". It matches the Rfam family "Bacterial small subunit ribosomal RNA", at positions 351 to 791 of the family's 1533-position model. The record is from RNAcentral. Lineage: Bacteria; Pseudomonadati; Pseudomonadota; Gammaproteobacteria; Lysobacterales; Lysobacteraceae.